GUGCCAGCCGCCGCGGUAAUACGUAGGUGGCAAGCGUUGUCCGGAUUUAUUGGGCGUAAAGCGCGCGCAGGCGGUUUCUUAAGUCUGAUGUGAAAGCCCACGGCUUAACUGUGGAGGGUCAUUGGAAACUGGGAGACUUGAGUGCAGAAGAGGAAAGUGGAAUUCCAAGUGUAGCGGUGAAAUGCGUAGAGAUUUGGAAGAACACCAGUGGCGAAGGCGGCUUUCUGGUCUGCAACUGACGCUGAGGCGCGAAAGCAUGGGGAGCAAACAGGAUUAGAUACCCUGGUAGUCCAUGCCGUAAACGAUGAGUGCUAAGUGUUGGGGGGUUUGCGUCCCUUAGUGCUGCAGUUAACGCAUUAAGCACUCCGCCUGGGGAGUACGGCCGCAAGGUUAAAACUUAAAGGAAUUGACGG
RNAcentral lists this ribosomal RNA (413 nucleotides) under uncultured bacterium. RNAcentral's name for it is "bacterial SSU rRNA". It matches the Rfam family "Bacterial small subunit ribosomal RNA", at positions 505 to 916 of the family's 1533-position model. The record is from RNAcentral.